ACGCUCGACACCUACGGGAGACAGCAGUGGGGAAUAUUGCACAAUGGGGGAAACCCUGAUGCAGCGACGCCGCGUGGAGGAAGAAGGUCUUCGGAUUGUAAACUCCUGUUGUUGGGGAAAAAGAGGAUGGUACCCAACAAGGAAGUGACGGCUAACUACGUGCCAGCAGCCGACGGUUAAUCUGGAGGCCGGGUCGUGGACGAAGGC
This 207-nucleotide ribosomal RNA is filed under the name uncultured bacterium. RNAcentral's name for it is "partial 16S ribosomal RNA". It matches the Rfam family "Bacterial small subunit ribosomal RNA", at positions 328 to 536 of the family's 1533-position model. The record is from RNAcentral.